ACUCAAAUGAAUUGACGGGUGCCCGCACAAGCAGCGGAGCGUGUGGUUCAAUUCGAUGCUACGCGAAGAACCUUACCUGGGUUUGACAUAUAGGUGGUAGAGAACGGAAACGGGAUCGACCCUUCGGGGAGCCUAUACAGGUGCUGCAUGGCUGUCGUCAGCUCGUGUCGUGAGAUGUCCGGUUAAGUCCGGUAACGAGCGCAACCCCUGCUGUAUGUUAUAUGUGUCAUACGGGACUGCCGGUAUCAAGCCGGAGGAAGGUGGGGAUGACGUCAAGUCAGCAUGGCCUUUAUAUCCAGGGCUACACACACGCUACAAUGGCUAAGACAAUGGGUUGCAAGACCGCGAGGUGGAGCCAAUCCUCAAACUUAGCCCCAGUUCGGAUUGCAGGCUGCAACUCGCCUGCAUGAAGUCGGAGUUGCUAGUAACCGCGCGUCAGCAUUAGUGCGGUGAAUACGUUCCCGGGCGUUGUACACACCGCCCGU
RNAcentral lists this ribosomal RNA (485 nucleotides) under uncultured bacterium. RNAcentral's name for it is "partial 16S ribosomal RNA". It matches the Rfam family "Bacterial small subunit ribosomal RNA", at positions 899 to 1397 of the family's 1533-position model. The record is from RNAcentral.